Molecule: ribosomal RNA, 393 nt
Filed under: uncultured bacterium
Lineage: Bacteria
Description: partial 16S ribosomal RNA
Rfam family: Bacterial small subunit ribosomal RNA
Source: RNAcentral
AUACGGAGGAUCCGAGCGUUAUCCGGAUUUAUUGGGUUUAAAGGGAGCGUAGGUGGACAGUUAAGUCAGUUGUGAAAGUUUGCGGCUCAACCGUAAAAUUGCAGUUGAUACUGGUUGUCUUGAGUACAGUAGAGGUGGGCGGAAUUCGUGGUGUAGCGGUGAAAUGCUUAGAUAUCACGAAGAACUCCGAUUGCGAAGGCAGCUCACUGGACUGCAACUGACACUGAUGCUCGAAAGUGUGGGUAUCAAACAGGAUUAGAUACCCUGGUAGUCCACACAGUAAACGAUGAAUACUCGCUGUUUGCGAUAUACAGUAAGCGGCCAAGCGAAAGCAUUAAGUAUUCCACCUGGGGAGUACGCCGGCAACGGUGAAACUCAAAUGAAUUGACGGGG